This 631-nucleotide ribosomal RNA is filed under the name uncultured archaeon. Its description in RNAcentral is "bacterial SSU rRNA". It matches the Rfam family "Bacterial small subunit ribosomal RNA", at positions 401 to 1026 of the family's 1533-position model. The record is from RNAcentral.
UGUGUGAAGAAGGCCUUCGGGUUGUAAAGCACUUUUGUCAGGAACGAAACGGUGGGGGCUAAUAUCUCCUGCUAAUGACGGUACCUGAAGAAUAAGCACCGGCUAACUACGUGCCAGCAGCCGCGGUAAUACGUAGGGUGCGAGCGUUAAUCGGAAUUACAGGGCGUAAAGCGUGCGCAGGCGGUUGUGCAAGACAGAUGUGAAAUCCCCGGGCUUAACCUGGGAAUUGCAUUUGUGACUGCACGGCUAGAGUGUGUCAGAGGGGGGUAGAAUUCCACGUGUAGCAGUGAAAUGCGUAGAUAUGUGGAGGAAUACCGAUGGCGAAGGCAGCCCCCUGGGAUAACACUGACGCUCAUGCACGAAAGCGUGGGGAGCAAACAGGAUUAGAUACCCUGGUAGUCCACGCCCUAAACGAUGUCUACUAGUUGUCGGGUCUUAACUGACUUGGUAACGCAGCUAACGCGUGAAGUAGACCGCCUGGGGAGUACGGUCGCAAGAUUAAAACUCAAAGGAAUUGACGGGGACCCGCACAAGCGGUGGAUGAUGUGGAUUAAUUCGAUGCAACGCGAAAANACUUANCUACCCUUGACAUGUACGGAAACCUGCUGAGAGGUGGGGGUGCUCGAAAGAG